GCAGUCGAGCGGACCGAAAAGAAGCUUGCUUCUAUUCGGUUAGCGGCGGACGGGUGAGUAACACGUGGGCAACCUGCCCGUAAGACUGGGAUAACUUCGGGAAACCGGAGCUAAUACCGGAUAACACGAAAGACCGCAAGGUCUUUCGUUGAAAGGCGGCGUAAGCUGUCACUUACGGAUGGGCCCGCGGCGCAUUAGCUAGUUGGUGAGGUAACGGCUCACCAAGGCGACGAUGCGUAGCCGACCUGAGAGGGUGAUCGGCCACACUGGGACUGAGACACGGCCCAGACUCCUACGGGAGGCAGCAGUAGGGAAUCUUCCGCAAUGGACGAAAGUCUGACGGAGCAACGCCGCGUGAGCGAAGAAGGUCUUCGGAUUGUAAAGCUCUGUUGUUAGGGAAGAACAAGUACCGCAGUAACUGGCGGUACCUUGACGGUACCUAACGAGAAAGCCACGGCUAACUACGUGCCAGCAGCCGCGGUAAUACGUAGGUGGCAAGCGUUGUCCGGAAUUAUUGGGCGUAAAGCGCGCGCAGGCGGUCCUUUAAGUCUGAUGUGAAAGCCCACGGCUCAACCGUGGAGGGUCAUUGGAAACUGGGGGACUUGAGUGCAGAAGAGGAGAGCGGAAUUCCACGUGUAGCGGUGAAAUGCGUAGAGAUGUGGAGGAACACCAGUGGCGAAGGCGGCUCUCUGGUCUGUAACUGACGCUGAGGCGCGAAAGCGUGGGGA
RNAcentral lists this ribosomal RNA (728 nucleotides) under uncultured bacterium. Its description in RNAcentral is "bacterial SSU rRNA". It matches the Rfam family "Bacterial small subunit ribosomal RNA", at positions 57 to 767 of the family's 1533-position model. The record is from RNAcentral.